UACAUGCAAGUGGGACGCAAGAGAACACACUGUGCUUGCACACCGUGUUUUCUUGAGUCGCGAACGGGUGAGUAACGCGUAGGUAACCUGCCUAUUAGCGGGGGAUAACUAUUGGAAACGAUAGCUAAUACCGCAUAAUAUUAAUUAUUGCAUGAUAAUUGAUUGAAAGAUGCAAGCGCAUCACUAGUAGAUGGACCUGCGUUGUAUUAGCUAGUUGGUAAGGUAAGAGCUUACCAAGGCGACGAUACAUAGCCGACCUGAGAGGGUGAUCGGCCACACUGGGACUGAGACACGGCCCAGACUCCUACGGGAGGCAGCAGUAGGGAAUCUUCGGCAAUGGACGAAAGUCUGACCGAGCAACGCCGCGUGAGUGAAGAAGGUUUUCGGAUCGUAAAGCUCUGUUGUAAGUCAAGAACGUGUGUGAGAGUGGAAAGUUCACACAGUGACGGUAGCUUACCAGAAAGGGACGGCUAACUACGUGCCAGCAGCCGCGGUAAUACGUAGGUCCCGAGCGUUGUCCGGAUUUAUUGGGCGUAAAGGGAGCGCAGGCGGUCAGGAAAGUCUGGAGUAAAAGGCUAUGGCUCAACCAUAGUGUGCUCUGGAAACUGUCUGACUUGAGUGCAGAAGGGGAGAGUGGAAUUCCAUGUGUAGCGGUGAAAUGCGUAGAUAUAUGGAGGAACACCAGUGGCG
This 690-nucleotide ribosomal RNA is filed under the name uncultured Bacilli bacterium. RNAcentral describes it as "bacterial SSU rRNA". It matches the Rfam family "Bacterial small subunit ribosomal RNA", at positions 52 to 717 of the family's 1533-position model. Lineage: Bacteria; Bacillati; Bacillota; Bacilli. The record is from RNAcentral.